This 31-nucleotide non-coding RNA is filed under the name Rattus norvegicus (Norway rat). The record is from RNAcentral. Lineage: Eukaryota; Metazoa; Chordata; Mammalia; Rodentia; Muridae.
UGGGAGAAUUCAUUAAUGCCCUCAUCCGACC